UACCCACUGUUUUUGAUGUGGUAAUAAUAUAACUUUUAUAAUAUGGUUAAUUAUUUGACUGUAAUUUAUAACUUUCCUAUGGUUAAUUAUUUUAUAGAGAAAUUUUCAAAAUACUGGUAAAAUUAUUAAGUCCCCAAGAGGUACCGAACUUAACAUAUCCUUAAGUACAUUAUAAGGUACCUACAUGACAAAGUUUUUUAUUUAAAAUGUUGCUAAUAUGUACUAUAUAAUUAGGUUAAUAAGUAUAUUUUGAAUUUCAUUUACAUUUAUAUAGAUAAUCUACCAAGCGAAGUGAGGUUUUUCGUAUAAGUAGUAUGUAUAGGUACAAUAUAUAUACUUUUAAAAUUUCCCGCCAAAUCCAGAGAACUGUCAAUUGUCUAGAAGCUCCGAAGCAAAGUAUUUGGUUUUCUCUAGACGCAAGUUGAAGUGUGCUAGGAGGAUUCGGUCGACGAACUUGGUUCCAUAAUGGCGGAAGGUUUCAUUUCUUAAGCCAUUCUAUUUGGAAAAAAAAUGCAGUCCCACUGAAGUAAAAAUGGUAUCCCGUGGUUUUCCCAGAAUCCAUCCAGAGUUUCUAGAGGGACAGUAAAUGGACAACUGACCUAUCCGCCAUUUGGGGAGAAAUAUUAGAACCUACCAUGUAAAUCCUUCAACCACCUGGAAGGCGUCGAUUCCAGCCACGACCACAGCCAAGUCACUAUUGGGGUUUUGGGAACAAGCUUUUUGGGGAACAUUCCAGCUCCUUUUCGUCCUGCCACCUGGGCUUACGGGGGGCAUGGAGGCGCAUCAUCGUGAUGCUCAUUUUCUAGGAUGCAACCACAAUCUCGUUUGGGAACAUUUAGUGUUGUGCAUUAAGUAACUUUGGUUUUUAUAUUUCAGACAUUUGAUUUAAUGCACUAUGUUAAUUAAUUUUUUUUCCAGAUUUAGUUUACCUCUGGUUUUUUUUUUAAUAUGACAUAUUUGUAUAUUAUUGUAUUUGGUUCCCAAACUUUGUACCUAUGGUAACUUCUUGUGCACAGGAAUAAGCCUAGAGAAAAUUAGGUUUUUAAUACUUUAUUAUUGCUUUGAUACUGGUUUAUGUAAUUCGGGUAAAUUUAUUUUGUAAUAUUACUUGCUUGUUUCCCAAAUAUUUUCUUGUUAUUCGCUUUAUUUCGAUUGUUCGGUUAAUUCGUCGUUACUUUAGUUCAUUGCAUUUUCUUGGUUAAUUUAGGUCAUCGUUUCGGUAUUAAUUACUUCAUUACUAUAACUUUAUUCAUUUGUAUAUUUAACUUUAUUUAUUCAUUAUGGUAUUUUCUCUUAGUGAGGCUUGGGCCUAUUUAUUUGUAGUAUUUUCAUCUUUGUCAGUUUCAUUUAGUUGUACGUAGCAAGCGUACUAUAACCAUUUGGUAGAAGACUCAUGUGAGUUGUACCCUCUAUGUUAGUGAGAGGUACUUAUACCUGUAAUUUUGUAACAGAUAACAGAUAAUAAUGUUGUUAUCUUAGAUAUAACUUCUGUAUAACUUUUGUCAUGUUAGAGUCACGGUAUAUGUUUUGUGUAACUCAGAGAUUGUCAAAAAUCUAGUAGUUAUUUUUAAUAAAUAUGUAUUUAUUUUGUA
Molecule: long non-coding RNA, 1592 nt
Filed under: Diabrotica virgifera virgifera (western corn rootworm)
Lineage: Eukaryota; Metazoa; Arthropoda; Insecta; Coleoptera; Chrysomelidae
Description: uncharacterized LOC126879037
Source: RNAcentral